Molecule: long non-coding RNA, 210 nt
Filed under: Elaeis guineensis (African oil palm)
Lineage: Eukaryota; Viridiplantae; Streptophyta; Magnoliopsida; Arecales; Arecaceae
Description: long non-coding RNA (EGUI_LNC035580)
Source: RNAcentral
UUCGACAAUAGGUUUACUCAACUUCAACAACUAAUUAUGAUCUAACAGCAAUCUAUCGUCAGGUUAGAAGUAUAAAUAGGACAGUUAGCUGAGUCCACCAUGAGGAGAGAAUCAAGUCAAUUAUCGAGCCAACCAAUAGCAAAUUCUAGGAACAACCCAUCCAAUGUCCACCAACUACAUGGACCUAGUCAUCAAUCUAAUGUUCCACUU